Non-coding RNA from Oesophagostomum dentatum (nodular worm), 44 nucleotides. The record is from Rfam. Lineage: Eukaryota; Metazoa; Nematoda; Chromadorea; Rhabditida; Strongylidae.
UCAACAGUUCUUUUAAGAACCAUAUUUUUACAAAAAAAUGAUAU